RNAcentral lists this ribosomal RNA (254 nucleotides) under uncultured bacterium. RNAcentral's name for it is "partial 16S ribosomal RNA". It matches the Rfam family "Bacterial small subunit ribosomal RNA", at positions 524 to 776 of the family's 1533-position model. The record is from RNAcentral.
UACGGGGGGAGCAAGCGUUGUUCGGAUUUACUGGGCGUAAAGGGCGCGUAGGCGGCCACCGCAAGUCGACUGUGAAAUCUCCGGGCUUAACCCGGAAAGGUCAGCCGAUACUGCGGGGCUAGAGUGCUGAAGGGGCAACUGGAAUUCUCGGUGUAGCGGUGAAAUGCGUAGAUAUCGAGAGGAACACCUGCGGCGAAGGCGGGUUGCUGGGCUGACACUGACGCUGAGGCGCGAAAGCUAGGGGAGCGAACGGG